This 1218-nucleotide long non-coding RNA is filed under the name Sus scrofa (pig). Its description in RNAcentral is "lncRNA (ENSSSCG00005027650.1)". The record is from RNAcentral. Lineage: Eukaryota; Metazoa; Chordata; Mammalia; Artiodactyla; Suidae.
AUGUUAGCAUUAGUUGAACUGGAAUUGGACAGUCGAAAUGGUUCUGACAUUAUCAUGACAUAUCUGAAUGAGCAUGGUGGCCUACCAAUGUUGGCGGACUUCAACUUCUGCUCCCCAUUGCAAAUUAACUUUGCAAACAGAUUUCCUAAUAUGUGUAAGAAUAAUGCCAAAGGAAGAAAAUAACAGAUAAAAGAAGACAUCUUAUAUUGAAGCGAAAGCAUAAGCUACAUCCAGGCACACAUCUUCACAUAGUAGAGUGCCUUUCUGGAAAGAAUAUUGCAUGAUGCUUAGAUAGAUUUUUGGUGAGUGGGAUAGGGAUAAUCUGGUUUUGCACUGUCAAGUACUAUAACUAUUUAAAUUUCUGUUUGUGGCUGUUUGGAUUUAAAUUAAUUAAAAUUACAAAGAAAUUUAUUUUUCUCAUAGUAGGAAUUAAAGAAACAGAAAACUGAUUUAAAAACCAGUAAUAAGAAAAUAGUAAAAAAAAAAAUCAGUAAUAAGAGGAGAGAGUGGUUUCUGUAUUAUAAUAUAUUGCUUAAUUAACCCUGUUUUAUAUGUGGGAGAUUAUGUGUCAAAUAUAUAUUAUUUUAUCCUAGAUAAUAUUCGGGUUUCUUUAUUUCUAAUUAUUGUUCAACAUUAAAAAUAUGUCCUUGUCUGUAUUGCUUUUCUUCUUCUCUUAGCCAAGAUGAAGACCCCCGCCUUUUUUUUUUUUUUUUUUUUUUUUUAUCUUUUUAGGGCCACACUCACGGCAUAUGGAAGUUCCCAGACUAGGGAUAGAAUCGGAGCUAUAGCCACUGGCCUACGCCACAGCAAUUAGGGAUCUGAGCUGCAUCUGCGACCUAUGCCACAGUUUACCACAUCACCUAACCCUUAAACCACUGAGCAAAGCCAGGAGUCAAACCUGCGUCUUGUCCUCAUGGGUACUCAUCAGAUUUGUUUUCGCUGAGCCACGAUGGGAACUCCAAGACACUUUUAAACAAUGCAAGAUCUAUAAUCAUUCAUCUAUUAUCCAUCCAUCCAUAUAUAUUCCUAUAAAUUUAUUUACCUUCAUAAAUGUACAAAAAAUUAAGAAAUAAUUGGAAAUGUACAAUUUUCUAUCCAUUAUUUAAGUAACUUGAGUUGAAAAAAGUCCUCUAGUAGACCACAGGAGAUGUAUCUCUGUAACCAUGAAAGAUAUAGGUGGAGUUAGUUAUAGAUAUCAGACAUUCUAUUAAAUGAAAU